Molecule: ribosomal RNA, 432 nt
Filed under: uncultured bacterium
Lineage: Bacteria
Description: partial 16S ribosomal RNA
Rfam family: Bacterial small subunit ribosomal RNA
Source: RNAcentral
AACGAACGCUGGCGGCAUGCCUAACACAUGCAGGUCGAACGAGACCUUCGGGUCUAGUGGCGCACGGGUGCGUAACGCGUGGGAACCUGCCCUUAGGUUCGGAAUAACUCCCCGAAAGGGGUGCUAAUACCGGAUAAUGUCUUCGGACCAAAGAUUUAUCGCCUUUGGAUGGGCCCGCGUUGGAUUAGCUAGUUGGUAGGGUAAAAGCCUACCAAGGCGACGAUCCAUAGCUGGUCUGAGGGGAUGAUCAGCCACACUGGGACUGAGACACGGCCCAGACUCCUACGGGAGGCAGCAGUGGGGAAUAUUGGACAAUGGGCGAAAGCCUGAUCCAGCAAUGCCGCGUGAGUGAUGAAGGCCUUAGGGUUGUAAAGCUCUUUUACCCGGGAUGAUAAUGACAGUACCGGGAGAAUAAGCUCCGGCUAACUCCGU